AGUGGCGGACGGGUGAGUAACACGUGGGGAACCUAUCCAUCAGCGGGGGAUAACACUUGGAAACAGGUGCUAAUACCGCAUAUGGCUUUUUUUCACCUGAAAGAAAGCUCAAAGGCGCUUUACAGCGUCACUGAUGGCUGGUCCCGCGGUGCAUUAGCCAGUUGGUGAGGUAACGGCUCACCAAAGCAACGAUGCAUAGCCGACCUGAGAGGGUGAUCGGCCACACUGGGACUGAGACACGGCCCAGACUCCUACGGGAGGCAGCAGUAGGGAAUCUUCGGCAAUGGACGCAAGUCUGACCGAGCAACGCCGCGUGAGUGAAGAAGGUUUUCGGAUCGUAAAGCUCUGUUGUCAGCAAAGAACAGGAGAAAGAGGAAAUGCUUUUUCUAUGACGGUAGCUGACCAGAAAGCCACGGCUAACUACGUGCCAGCAGCCGCGGUAAUACGUAGGUGGCAAGCGUUGUCCGGAUUUAUUGGGCGUAAAGCGAGCGCAGGCGGUGAUUUAAGUCUGAUGUGAAAGCCCCCAGCUCAACUGGGGAGGGUCAUUGGAAACUGGAUCACUUGAGUGCAGAAGAGGAGAGUGGAAUUCCAUGUGUAGCGGUGAAAUGCGUAGAUAUAUGGAGGAACACCAGUGGCGAAGGCGGCUCUCUGGUCUGUAACUGACGCUGAGACUCGAAAGCGUGG
This 684-nucleotide ribosomal RNA is filed under the name Tetragenococcus halophilus. RNAcentral's name for it is "bacterial SSU rRNA". It matches the Rfam family "Bacterial small subunit ribosomal RNA", at positions 94 to 764 of the family's 1533-position model. The record is from RNAcentral. Lineage: Bacteria; Bacillati; Bacillota; Bacilli; Lactobacillales; Enterococcaceae.